Molecule: ribosomal RNA, 305 nt
Filed under: uncultured bacterium
Lineage: Bacteria
Description: bacterial SSU rRNA
Rfam family: Bacterial small subunit ribosomal RNA
Source: RNAcentral
CCUACGGGGGGCAGCAGUAGGGAAUCUUCCACAAUGGACGAAAGUCUGAUGGAGCAACGCCGCGUGAGUGAAGAAGGGUUUCGGCUCGUAAAGCUCUGUUGGGAGUGAAGAAAGAUAGAGGUAGUAACUGGCCUUUAUUUGACGGUAAUUACUUAGAAAGUCACGGCUAACUACGUGCCAGCAGCCGCGGUAAUACGUAGGUGGCAAGCGUUGUCCGGAUUUAUUGGGCGUAAAGCGAGUGCGGGCGGUUCAAUAAGGCUGAUGUGAAAGCCUUCGGCUCAACCGGAGAAUUGCAUCAGAAACCG